Erinaceus europaeus (western European hedgehog) is the source of this 753-nucleotide long non-coding RNA. RefSeq lists it as uncharacterized. The record is from RefSeq and is a predicted model, not a curated record. The transcript has 3 exons. NCBI's taxonomy places the organism in Eukaryota, Metazoa, Chordata, Mammalia, Eulipotyphla, Erinaceidae.
GAGGAUGCUUUGAAUCCUGACCUAGCGGUGGUUGACUCCAGUCUUGGCAAAACGAGGGAAGUCAGUCCCAAGCGCACAUGCCGGGCACUCUCGGCUCAGCUGGCAUUGGAGUCUGGUGCCACCAGAGCUAAAGUCCAUGUGCUUGGAUGCCCGCCAAGAGGACUCCAGCUGCAGCCUGUGAGCUCACACUCCACUGUGGGGGGGUGGAGGAUUCCUUCCCUUUGACUCAACUCUGACUGAAAUAGAUGACAGGGAGGAGGUGUGUUGGCCCUGCCCACCACACUGAAACUAAACUAGAAAGGUUACCGGCCUUGGCCCAGAAAUGGAGCUUCCAAGCCAGGGUACAUGGCGUGCACUGGACACUGGCUCGCCCCGGGCACCAGGACGGCGACCACAGCUUCACGGUCAUCCCCUCCUCAGAUUUCACGGACCUGGGGACACAGGUCUGCGGGGAUAACGCAAGCACCCUGGGAACACUUUGCGCCACUCGCUGAUUAUACAACAACCACCGCUACCAGCUGCCCGGGCCAUUUCUACCAGUUCCCUAGAAAAGGAGACGGGGCUGUGAGGAGAACGGGGCUUAAGAGAAGGAACGAGCACAAGGCCGGGCUGACACAGGCCCAGGACAAACAGAAGCUGGAAGCUGUCCAAGCUGGAGUAAUGUGUUACACUCUGAAGACUAGAUUAUGAGAAUGAUCAGGAUACUGCAUAUCCUUGAGAAAAGUAUAAAUAAAUAAAUACUUGCAAAUGUUA